This 1082-nucleotide unclassified non-coding RNA is filed under the name Hevea brasiliensis (rubber tree). Lineage: Eukaryota; Viridiplantae; Streptophyta; Magnoliopsida; Malpighiales; Euphorbiaceae. The record is from RNAcentral.
AAAAAAAAGAAGAAAAAAAAGGAGAAAUCCUAAAGCAACACGCCAGUCGCCAAUGAAUGUAUGACGGCAAACGCCGAACUAUAACACGCCUGUGUAUACUAAUAAGUCCAAAAAUGGGCAAACAUACGUCAAAUUCACCUCACAAUUGAAUUGAACUGCAGUCUCAAAUAAUGUACAAUCCAAUUCAAUGAACCAGAGGCAUUUGUUGAAGCAUAGAACAUACGUAACUCUUUAUCGCUUUAGGCUAAUGUUUAUAAUUUCAUCAUCAUUUUUUGAGAGGAGGAGCUUCAGAUUGUCUAUGUGCUCAAUUACUCAUAUACGUUUUGAAAUAACUUAAUUGUUCUUAUUAUCUUCAAUUUAAUUUCUAUUGGCCAUGGUUUCGUUGAGCAACAUAGUAAAGGUGCCUAGGGCUUCCAUGGUCACAGCAAGGGUAAUAAAACUUCCCACCGUCUUUCCUUCCGCCGACUGGAUAUCCCAAAGCCGGAGAACAACACCUAGCAGCAGCCGCUGCAGCAUACGACGGAGGUGAAUAGAAACAUCUGAGCUUUUCCGGCUUCAUUCUCGAUGCCGGAAAGUCAAAACACGACAUCGGAGAUGACGGAGGAGAAACUUUUUUCACCGAAUUGAGAGGAAAUAAAACAGCUCUAAUCUUCAUCUCCUGAUUCGUCAACGCAGAAACUCGAUCGUACUCUUGAAUCACAUUCAUCAGAUCCUCAUCACAAGUAAUUGAAACUAAAACAUCCAAAUCCUCAGUCGGCAACUUACACUUCAAACUCAUAGACGAUCCACACGAUUCUCCAAACUUCACCAUCAACUCUGAAAACGAGAUAGGCUUUUCAACGGAGAGAACUCUGGUAAAACCACCGAUAUACCGAAGCUUUCCAUCCGAACGACGGGGAACGAUUCUCCCACCGUAACUAUACAGAAAUUUGAUCACUUGUGUACCGUUGAUAGAGUUCAACAUGCUUUGAAUGGGGUAGUACGAUGUAAGAAAUUAAAAAGGUAUUUUGCAGUUGAAAAGGCGAGAAGAAAGGGGCAGAAAGAGUUCCUUCUAGAAAAAGAGAAGAUGCUGUGAGAUUUUG